GACAGAGGGUGCAAGCGUUGUUCGGAAUUAUUGGGCGUAAAGGGCGCGUAGGCGGCCUCGCAAGUCAGGUGUGAAAUCCCAGGGCUUAACCCUGGAACUGCAUCUGAUACUGCUUGGCUUGAAUCUCGGAGAGGGUGGUGGAAUUCCUGGUGUAGAGGUGAAAUUCGUAGAUAUCAGGAGGAACACCGGUGGCGAAGGCGACCACCUGGACGAUGAUUGACGCUGAGGCGCGAAAGCGUGGGAAGCAAACAGGAUUAGAUACCCUGGUAGUCCACGCCGUAAACGAUGGAUACUAGGUGCUGCGGGUAUUGACCCCUGCGGUGCCGUCGCUAACGCAUUAAGUAUCCCGCCUGGGAAGUACGGCCGCAAGGCUAAA
This 376-nucleotide ribosomal RNA is filed under the name uncultured bacterium. Its description in RNAcentral is "bacterial SSU rRNA". It matches the Rfam family "Bacterial small subunit ribosomal RNA", at positions 524 to 898 of the family's 1533-position model. The record is from RNAcentral.